RNAcentral lists this ribosomal RNA (806 nucleotides) under Scytinostroma sp. 1 LR-2015. RNAcentral's name for it is "eukaryotic LSU rRNA". The stretch from base 357 to 510 matches the Rfam family "5.8S ribosomal RNA". The record is from RNAcentral. Lineage: Eukaryota; Fungi; Basidiomycota; Agaricomycetes; Russulales; Lachnocladiaceae.
CAUUUCUGAGCGCAAGAUGCGCUGGCAUGGUCUCUAAGGAGGGCCGUGCUGGGCUAGCCCAGAAAGUUUGUCCACCGAGCCGAGAGCUAGCAUGUGUCCUGGAGUAGCAGCAAUGCAUUGCAGGUGAUCUCUCUCUAGGACCCCUCUCAUCUCGGGAGUACCUUUGUGGCAUCAUGUGCACUCAUAUAUUUCCCCCUCCUUCUCACUCUCUUCCAACCCACCCCAUCGUGAACCACCGCGCGAAAGUCAGUAAAGGGGUGCACCCUCCGGGAAGCCUCCGAAAGCUUUGCGAAACCUACAUACCCGUAUGCAAGUCUCAGAAUGUACGUGUUGCGCUCCGUCGCAAACAAAAAUACAACUUUCAGCAACGGAUCUCUUGGCUCUCGCAUCGAUGAAGAACGCAGCGAAAUGCGAUAAGUAAUGUGAAUUGCAGAAUCCAGUGAAUCAUCGAAUCUUUGAACGCACCUUGCACCCCUUGGUAUUCCGAGGGGUACGCCUGUUUGAGUGUCGUGAAUUCCCUCCACUCGACCGCUUUGCUGCGUGUCGGGCUGGGAUGUUGGGGGUGUUUUGCAGGUCCCUUUCGAGGUCUGCUCCCCUUGAAUGCAUUAGUGAGGUUCGGCGCUCGGCCUCGACGUGAUAAGCCUAUCUACGUCGUGUCCGGUGCUUUGUUUGUCCUGGUCAGCCAGGGAAAAACGGGACUUUGCUUCCAACCGUCUUCGGACAAACCGUGCGCUCGCGUACGACCUUCGAACUCGACCUCAAAUCAGGUGGGACUACCCGCUGAACUUAAGCAUAUCAAUAAGCGG